UACAGAGGGUGCAAGCGUUAUUCGGAAUUAUUGGGCGUAAAGAGCACGUAGGCGGUUUAGUAAGUUUGCUGUGAAAACCCACGACUCAAUCGUGGAAGUGCAGUGAAUACUGCUAGACUAGAGUACUGGAGAGGAGAACGGAAUUCCUGGUGUAGAGGUGAAAUUCGUAGAUAUCAGGAGGAACAACGGAGGCGAAGGCGGUUCUCUGGACAGUAACUGACGCUGAGGUGCGAAAGCGUGGGGAGCGAACAGG
RNAcentral lists this ribosomal RNA (253 nucleotides) under uncultured bacterium. Its description in RNAcentral is "partial 16S ribosomal RNA". It matches the Rfam family "Bacterial small subunit ribosomal RNA", at positions 524 to 776 of the family's 1533-position model. The record is from RNAcentral.